RNA transcript from Odobenus rosmarus divergens (Pacific walrus), 1060 nucleotides. It is a transcript of the gene named glycerophosphodiester phosphodiesterase domain-containing protein 1-like, with no coding region annotated. Lineage: Eukaryota; Metazoa; Chordata; Mammalia; Carnivora; Odobenidae. The record is from RefSeq and is a predicted model, not a curated record. The transcript has a single exon.
CGGGGGGGGUGGUGAGCAGACCUCGAGCAGCUGCCGCAGCCGCCACAGCCGUUGCAACCGCAGCAGUUGAGUUCACAGGGCCCGGAGGUGGGAGAUUUCCCAUACGGUGGCUGAGAUGUCGUCCACCGCGGCUUUUUACCUUCUCUCCACCCUGGGAGGGUACUUGGUGACCUCAUUCUUGUUGCUCAAAUACCCGACCUUGCUGCACCGGAGAAAGAAGCAGCGAUUCCUCAGCAAACACAUCUCCCACCACAGAGGUGCUGGAAAAAAUUUGGAGAAUACAAUGGCAGCCUUUCAGCAUGCAGUUACAAUUGCAACUGAUAUGCUGGAAUUGGACUGCCAUAUCACAAAAGAUGAGCAAGUUGUAGCGUCCCAUGAUGAGAAUUUAAAGAGAUCAACUGGGGUCAAUGUAAACAUCUCUGAUCUCAAGUACUGUGAACUCCCACCUUACCUUGGCAAACUGGAUGUCACAUUUCAAAGAGCAUGCCAAUGUGAAGGAAAAGAUAACCGAAUGCCAUUACUAAAGGAAGUUUUUGGGGCUUUUCCUAACACUCCCAUUAACAUCGAUAUCAAGGUCAACAACAAUGUGCUGAUAAAGAAGGUUUCAGAGCUGGUAAAGCAGUACAGACGAGGACACAUAAUGGUGUGGGGUAACGCCAGUUAUGAAAUUGUAGAAAAGUGCUACAGAGAGAAUUCAGAUAUUCCUAUACUCUUCAGUCUACAACGUGUUCUGCUCAUUCUUGGCCUUUUCUUCACUGGCCUCUUGCCCUUUGUGCCCAUUCGAGAACAGUUUUUUGAAAUUCCAAUGCCUUCUAUCAUACUGAAGCUAAAAGAACCACAUACUAUGUCCAGAAGUCAAAAGUUUCUCAUCUGGCUUUCUGGUAUCUUACUAAUGAGAAAAGGCUUGUCUGACCACCUCACUGCCAGAGGCAUUCGGGUCUAUAUUUGGGUAUUGAAUGAAGAACAAGAAUACAAAUGAGCUUUUGAUUUGGGAGCAACUGGGGUGAUGACAGACUAUCCAACAAAGCUUAAGGAUUUUUUACAUAAUUUUUCAGCAUAG